GGUUAGAUUCGUGUGUAGUUUCAGUCAUUUCCAUAGGUUUGGCAUGGUGGAACAUUCAGGUGUGAAAACAUGGAAAAAGGGAAAGACAACCAUUAGUAUCAGUUGAACUGGUUGACAUUGUUGUUUUAGUCCGGCGGUCUUAACAAUGAAACUGGCAAUGGUACAUCAAAGAUCCGGCAAAGUCCUAUGUAAUUUAAAGCAAAUACAUUAAAUAAUGAAUAUUCUGUU
Long non-coding RNA from Contarinia nasturtii (swede midge), 228 nucleotides. RefSeq lists it as uncharacterized. The transcript is spliced from 2 exons. NCBI's taxonomy places the organism in Eukaryota, Metazoa, Arthropoda, Insecta, Diptera, Cecidomyiidae. The record is from RefSeq and is a predicted model, not a curated record.